RNAcentral lists this ribosomal RNA (660 nucleotides) under uncultured bacterium. RNAcentral's name for it is "bacterial SSU rRNA". It matches the Rfam family "Bacterial small subunit ribosomal RNA", at positions 94 to 788 of the family's 1533-position model. The record is from RNAcentral.
AGUGGCGGACGGGUGAGUAACGCGUGAGAAUCUGCCUUGGGGUCGGGGACAACCACUGGAAACGGUGGCUAAUACCGGAUAAGCCGAUUGGUGAAAGAUUUAUUGCCCGAAGAGGAGCUCGCGUCUGAUUAGCUAGUUGGUGAGGUAAGAGCUCACCAAGGCAGCGAUCAGUAGCUGGUCUGAGAGGACGAUCAGCCACACUGGGACUGAGACACGGCCCAGACUCCUACGGGAGGCAGCAGUGGGGAAUUUUCCGCAAUGGGCGAAAGCCUGACGGAGCAAGACCGCGUGAGGGAGGAAGGCUCUUGGGUUGUAAACCUCUUUUCUCAGGGAAGAAGCUCUGACGGUACCUGAGGAAUUAGCCUCGGCUAACUCCGUGCCAGCAGCCGCGGUAAUACGGAGGAGGCAAGCGUUAUCCGGAAUUAUUGGGCGUAAAGCGUCCGCAGGUGGCGAUUCAAGUCUGCUGUCAAAGCACGGGGCUUAACUCCGUAAAGGCAGUGGAAACUGAAUAGCUAGAGUGCCGUAGGGGUAGAGGGAAUUCCCGGUGUAGCGGUGAAAUGCGUAGAGAUCGGGAAGAACAUCGGUGGCGAAAGCGCUCUACUGGACGGCAACUGACACUCAGGGACGAAAGCUAGGGGAGCGAAUGGGAUUAGAUACCCC